Molecule: ribosomal RNA, 463 nt
Filed under: uncultured bacterium
Lineage: Bacteria
Description: bacterial SSU rRNA
Rfam family: Bacterial small subunit ribosomal RNA
Source: RNAcentral
UGGCGGCAUGCUUUACACAUGACAAGUACGAACGGCAGCGACGGGUGCUUGCACCGUGGUGGCGAGUGGCGGACGGGUGAGUAAUACAUCGGAACGUAUACCUAAAGUGGGGGAUAACGCAUCGAAAGAUGUGCUAAUACCGCAUACACUCUGAGGAGGAAAGUAGGGGAUCGAAAGACCUUAUGCUUUUGGAGCGGCCGAUGUCUGAUUAGCUAGUUGGUAAGGUAAUGGCUUACCAAGGCAACGAUCAGUAGUUGGUCUGAGAGGACGACCAGCCACACUGGGACUGAGACACGGCCCAGACUCCUACGGGAGGCAGCAGUGGGGAAUUUUGGACAAUGGGCGCAAGCCUGAUCCAGCAAUGCCGCGUGAGUGAAGAAGGCCUUCGGGUUGUAAAGCUCUUUCAGUUGAGAAGAAAAAGAUUGUGACUAAUAAUUGCAAUUCAUGACGGUAUCAACAGAAG